RNAcentral lists this long non-coding RNA (517 nucleotides) under Olea europaea subsp. europaea. The record is from RNAcentral. Lineage: Eukaryota; Viridiplantae; Streptophyta; Magnoliopsida; Lamiales; Oleaceae.
GUUGCAAAAUCAAAAACCUCCGCCGCUGUCUCCCAGUCUCCUUGCAAUUCAAACACUCCAAAAUUUCCAAUUUCAAGUUUUAAGAGAUGGAAGAAGAACAAGUAAAUCUUUUAUUUUUUUGGUACCUUUUCCACCUUUCGGACCUGUUCUUUGUGUAAGACAAUUGCCCAGAGUUCAAAUUAAAGAACAGGCUUCUUUUUUUCUUGGUAAUUAACAUAGUAUUGGGGUCGGGGUCUUGAAUUAAAGAAUAGAAAUUUGACGAUUAGUCUUCUUGGAAUUAUGGGAAAGAAGAGAUUUCCAUGGAAUGAAAGUGUGAAAAUAUUUUUGACGGAAAUGUGAACCCAUGAGUUUUAAUUGAGUAAAUGGAUGGAGAAUGGGAAUGGGUUUUUUGUUAGGUAUAUCUAUGUACACAGUUUUCAAGGGUGGUGAAUUUUAUUAUUAUUUUUUUUUUUAAUCAUUGAUUGUUGUUUUUAUUGUUUCAAUUACAUAUUUCAUCUAAAUUUUGUGAAAUUUUGCC